GAUUAAUGCUGGUGGUAUGCAUACCCCAUGCAAUUCGAACGAAGAGGGUUUACUCUCUUAGUGGCAAACGGGCGAGUAACACAUAUUUAACUUACCUGCACGAGGAGAAUAGCAACUCGAAAGAGUUAUUAAUACUCCAUAGGUUUGAGACUCAAAUUAAAGGAGCGAUCUGGGAAACCAGUGCUUCGCGAGCAGAGAGGAGUAUGUCCUAUUAGGUUGUUGGUGGGGUAAAAGCCUACCAAGCCGAUGAUGGGUAGCUGGACUGAGAGGUCGACCAGCCGCAAUGGGAUUGAAAUACGGCCCAUAUUCCUACGGGAAGCAGCAGUGAGGAAUUUUUCACAAUGGACGAAAGUCUGAUGGAGCAAUACCAUGUGAACGAUGAAGGUCUUCUGAUUGUAAAGUUCUUUUAUUUAGGAAAAAAAGCUUGAGAGGAAAUGAUUAAGCCGUGAUUGUACUAAAUGAAUAAGUGACAGCUAACUAUGUGCCAGCAGCUGCGGUAAAACAU
This 505-nucleotide ribosomal RNA is filed under the name Candidatus Mycoplasma haematominutum. Its description in RNAcentral is "bacterial SSU rRNA". It matches the Rfam family "Bacterial small subunit ribosomal RNA", at positions 28 to 528 of the family's 1533-position model. The record is from RNAcentral. Lineage: Bacteria; Bacillati; Mycoplasmatota; Mollicutes; Mycoplasmatales; Mycoplasmataceae.